GUACUCGCUUCGGCAGUACAUAUACUAAAAUUGGAACGAUACAGAGAAGAUUAGCAUGGCCCCUGCGCAAAGGGUCCCCCGCAAUCUUCGCUGUUUGCUUUU
RNAcentral lists this small nuclear RNA (102 nucleotides) under Mytilus galloprovincialis (Mediterranean mussel). Lineage: Eukaryota; Metazoa; Mollusca; Bivalvia; Mytilida; Mytilidae. The record is from RNAcentral.